AGGGCGCUUACAACUUUGUGAUUCAUGACUGGGGUGAAGUCGUAACAAGGUAACCGUAGGGGAGCCUGCGGUUGGAUCACCUACUUAACUUAAAGAAGC
This 99-nucleotide ribosomal RNA is filed under the name Escherichia coli. RNAcentral describes it as "partial 16S ribosomal RNA". The stretch from base 1 to 87 matches the Rfam family "Bacterial small subunit ribosomal RNA", at positions 1447 to 1533 of the family's 1533-position model. The record is from RNAcentral. Lineage: Bacteria; Pseudomonadati; Pseudomonadota; Gammaproteobacteria; Enterobacterales; Enterobacteriaceae.